This 440-nucleotide unclassified non-coding RNA is filed under the name Hevea brasiliensis (rubber tree). Lineage: Eukaryota; Viridiplantae; Streptophyta; Magnoliopsida; Malpighiales; Euphorbiaceae. The record is from RNAcentral.
GAAAACCUCUCGACUCUUUUCAUUGCGCUUCUCUUUAGAUCUCACAUCUCAGGUAUUCUGCAGUAAAGAAAAAAAUGUCACGAAGGUAUGAUAGCCGAACAACAAUCUUCUCCCCAGAAGGUCGUCUCUACCAAGUUGAGUACGCAAUGGAGGCUAUUGGAAAUGCAGGUAGUGCUAUAGGCAUCUUGUCCAAGGAUGGGGUGGUGUUGGUAGGUGAAAAGAAAGUUACAUCUAAGCUGCUUCAGACCUCUACUUCAAGUGAGAAGAUGUACAAGAUCGAUGAUCAUGUGGCAUGCGCUGUAGCUGGAAUUAUGUCUGAUGCCAACAUUCUGAUCAACACAGCCAGGGUUCAGGCUCAGCGCUAUACGUUCGCUUAUCAAGAACCCAUGCCAGUUGAGCAACUUGUCCAGUCACUAUGUGAUACCAAGCAAGGUUACACA